Molecule: non-coding RNA, 422 nt
Organism: Cinara cedri
Lineage: Eukaryota; Metazoa; Arthropoda; Insecta; Hemiptera; Aphididae
Source: the annotation of a GenBank genome assembly
UGUAAUUCAGUAAAAAAUAUCCGUAAAGACUUGACAUUUGGACAAGAAAUUUAUAUUUGCUCUUUUUAGACGUAGUCGAAUUUUCAAAAUAUUUAAGCCAUUUUUAUGCUAUUAAAAACGGAAUAUAUAUGAAAUGUAGGUGUUAAUAAAAAAAUAUUAUGGUCUUUUUUUCUGUGUACAACUUUUCUACCAGCAAUUUGCUCAGAUUUAAAAUGAUAGCACUUUUUCUGAAAGAAAAUCUGACUGGGAAGGUCGGUACUAGGAAGACAGGUACUUUUGAGUGGUCAUUUUUCGAUUUUCGAUUUUAGCAAAAGUUUAUCGUUGCUUACAUUAAAUUACCUAUAACAGUAGCUGCGCCCAUCUUCAUUAUCGUAGGACAUCUUUUUAUCAUUUCUGGUCUUGAUUUGUGUGUUUUAAUCGAU